Molecule: ribosomal RNA, 434 nt
Filed under: uncultured bacterium
Lineage: Bacteria
Description: bacterial SSU rRNA
Rfam family: Bacterial small subunit ribosomal RNA
Source: RNAcentral
AACGAACGCUGGCGGCAGACCUAACACAUGCAAGUCGAGCGGGACCUUCGGGUCUAGCGGCGGACGGGUUAGUAACGCGUGGGAACGUGCCCAAAGGUACGGAAUAGCCUCGGGAAACUGAGAGUAAUACCGUAUGUGCCCCUCGGGGGAAAGAUUUAUCGCCUUUGGAUCGGCCCGCGUUGGAUUAGGUAGUUGGUGGGGUAAUGGCCUACCAAGCCGACGAUCCAUAGCUGGUUUGAGAGGAUGAUCAGCAACACUGGGACUGAGACACGGCCCAGACUCCUACGGGAGGCAGCAGUGGGGAAUCUUAGACAAUGGGGGAAACCCUGAUCUAGCCAUGCCGCGUGAGCGAUGAAGGCCUUAGGGUUGUAAAGCUCUUUCAGAUGGGAAGAUAAUGACGGUACCAUCAGAAGAAGCCCCCGGCUAACUCCGUG